UUCUCCCUCUUCCAAGGGAAGGAAAUAAACAUUCCUAAAGGAUUCCCUCUGCCUAUUUCAUAUUUUACCCAUAUAAGUUAAUUAUGUGAUUGUCUUUUCAUUUCCCUCAAGGAAGGCUGUUGUUCUCUGGACUUUAUGGAGUUUUUGGGCCAAGGAUGAAGAUAAGCUGUACUGACAGAUGCAAUAACUAACAGCAAGACAUCCCUACAGGAAACUGGCGCAAACAUUAAUCGGACCACAUGUCCGAGUUGAUUAACAGGCUGCAUCGUUCGUAAUUUAAGUGACUUGUAUUUGAUUCACACAUUUCUUUUCAUCCGAUGUAGGGAAGUCGGCGUGUUAAUUUUUAAGGAAGUUUUACUCAGCAACAGUCACUUUUGACUCUUUAAAAUGUGGUGGUCCUUUUCACGUGAUGGCCACAUCCCCACAUGAAGAUGGAAGGGGAUUGUUGAUGUGUAUAGACAUCAUAGCAUCAAAAACACCCAUCUGCAUCCCUUUCCCCUUCCAUUUUUGCUAACAGAGGCAGUUUCCUGUCACAACAACCCUAUGAGAGAUGUAGCCUAUGUCUCAAAAAGGCUGCGAAAAUCUCACUUUAAAAGCUUGAAACCUGGAACACCUUUCGGAACAGGCUUAACAAUUAAGGUGGAGCUUGCAGUGUGAAGUACAGGUAAAAUAACAAAGUGAAUGCUGUCUUGUGCCUGCUGUGUAGCAGGCAGAAAUUAAACAGG
Molecule: non-coding RNA, 725 nt
Organism: Podarcis muralis (Common wall lizard)
Lineage: Eukaryota; Metazoa; Chordata; Lepidosauria; Squamata; Lacertidae
Source: RefSeq, a predicted model, not a curated record